Drosophila ananassae is the source of this 877-nucleotide long non-coding RNA. RefSeq lists it as uncharacterized. The transcript has 3 exons. The record is from RefSeq and is a predicted model, not a curated record. Lineage: Eukaryota; Metazoa; Arthropoda; Insecta; Diptera; Drosophilidae.
AAUACUCUGCUAGUCUCUGCUAAAAAUAAAUUUAUAUAAAUAUAUUAAGCUUUGGAGCAAUCAAGCGAAACUGGCGGGUAUCAUAAUAGAGGAAUCAAUUUCAGACUCCUUUAGGAGGUGCUGAGCGAAAGAUUCGCAAAUACCAAUAAUUCCAGAUGAGCGGCCUAAAACAAGCAACUUUUUAUCAAGAACCUAAUUUACGAAAAUUCUGUAAAAUUGUAAAAAAAAAAGCAAAGUAGACAUGUUUUAUUGGAAUCAGGAGGGGGAAAAGGAAGUCAAGGCUGAUAUAAACCCGAUUUGCCAUUUGAAGCGGAAGUGACCCUUGAAGUUUGAUUUUGUUUGUGCGGCCAUUGCCAACAAGAUUUUCCUGCGGCCAGGACUCCAAUAUCCUCGCCUCGUAGAUUCCAUGCAAUUUCCUGUUUGGCUGUGGACGAAGUCUGAAAGACAGGCGGCGUACAAGGAAAAAAAUAUAAAAAGGAAAAGCGCCAUCGCCAAGCUCUAGGAGCUCAAGGAGCAAACUCAACGCUGUUGGUUGCCUAUUUUUAGCAUUUUGGCCAUAUCCCAUGGAAUUCAAUGUCAACAACACAGUCGGGAAUCCGUCGGGGGUCGGAGAGAGUAUGGAGGCCGGAUAUGGCAGGGGAUCGGGAUCACAGGCGGGUGUGGAUUCGAGGUCGGAAGCGCCGGAGUUGUCAUCCUUGAGUGCCAACUUGAACAUAAACAGCACCACAGUGCUCCGUCAUCGGUCAUCCGAUUAGGGGACUUCUAACCAAGCUGCAGCACUUCUUAACGGUUUUUGUAAUUGAACUUGUUCCUGUCAGCAAUUAAAAGAGUCAUUAUUCAUGGGGGCUAGUGUGUGUAAUAGAGACUCGUAAUAGAG